AUCGUUAACUGAAUACAUAGGUUAACGAGGCGAACCGGGGGAACUGAAACAUCUAAGUACCCCGAGGAAAAGAAAUCAACCGAGAUUCCCCCAGUAGCGGCGAGCGAACGGGGAGCAGCCCGGAGUCUGAAUCAGCUUGUGUGUUAGUGGAAGCGUCUGGAAAGUCCGACGGUACAGGGUGACAGUCCCGUACACCAAAAUGCACAGGCUGUGAACUCGAAGAGUAGGGCGGGACACGUGGUAUCCUGUCUGAAUAUGGGGGGACCAUCCUCCAAGGCUAAAUACUCCUGACUGACCGAUAGUGAACCAGUACCGUGAGGGAAAGGCGAAAAGAACCCCGGCGAGGGGAGUGAAAAAGAACCUGAAACCGUGUACGUACAAGCAGUGGGAGCACCUUCGGGUGUGACUGCGUACCUUUUGUAUAAUGGGUCAGCGACUUAUAUUCUGUAGCAAGGUUAACCGUAUAGGGGAGCCGAAGGGAAACCGAGUCUUAACUGGGCGUUAAGUUGCAGGGUAUAGACCCGAAACCCGGUGAUCUAGCCAUGGGCAGGUUGAAGGUUGGGUAACACUAACUGGAGGACCGAACCGACUAAUGUUGAAAAAUUAGCGGAUGACUUGUGGCUGGGGGUGAAAGGCCAAUCAAACCGGGAGAUAGCUGGUUCUCCCCGAAAGCUAUUUAGGUAGCGCCUCGUGAACUCAUCUUCGGGGGUAGAGCACUGUUUCGGCUAGGGGGCCAUCCCGGCUUACCAACCCGAUGCAAACUACGAAUACCGAAGAAUGUUAUCACGGGAGACACACGGCGGGUGCUAACGUCCGUCGUGAAGAGGGAAACAACCCAGACCGCCAGCUAAGGUCCCAAAGUCAUGGUUAAGUGGGAAACGAUGUGGGAAGGCACAGACAGCCAGGAUGUUGGCUUAGAAGCAGCCAUCAUUUAAAG
RNAcentral lists this ribosomal RNA (937 nucleotides) under Mesorhizobium sp. RNAcentral's name for it is "partial 23S ribosomal RNA". It matches the Rfam family "Bacterial large subunit ribosomal RNA", at positions 150 to 1128 of the family's 2925-position model. Lineage: Bacteria; Pseudomonadati; Pseudomonadota; Alphaproteobacteria; Hyphomicrobiales; Phyllobacteriaceae. The record is from RNAcentral.